Long non-coding RNA from Ictalurus punctatus (channel catfish), 4431 nucleotides. The record is from Ensembl. NCBI's taxonomy places the organism in Eukaryota, Metazoa, Chordata, Actinopteri, Siluriformes, Ictaluridae.
AAUAUAAAUAUAUAUACACACACACACGCACACAAUGUGUUCAUGGUUGAAGGCAACACGUAGAAUGGAAUUACACUGGGCACCAUAUGGGGAUUAAAAUAAAACACAUGAUAACAUGACGAUAUUUUUUAAUCCAUUUAUUAUUAUAAUACAUAGAUUAUGUGGAGCAUCUGCCGUCCCAGUCCUCUGAAUGAGCUGUUACCAUAGAAACAAUAAUGUAUUAGGAAAGGUGCAUUAAUAUAAUCCUGUGAUUUGAAUUGUAGCCAGCAGUACUGUCAGAGCUGCACUGAUACAAAAUUGAUCAACACCUUCUGUCACCUGUCGAUGAUUUCUUCGAUUUGUUGGAUUAAAAGGCCGAUUUUUAUUUUCUGUAUUAAAAAAAAACAAUAAACAAAAACAAAAAAACAAACGUGUUAUUUCACAUUCUGCCCAAUGGACUGGGGGAAUGGACUUUGGACACGGAGGGAGGAAACCGGAGUACCCGGAGGAAACCCCCGCAGCACGGGGAGAACACGCAAACUCCGCACACACAGGACCGCGGUGGGAAUCGAACCCCCGACCCUGGAGGUGUCAGGCGAACGUGCUAACCACCAACAAUUAUUAGAGAUAGGUUAAGAACUUUCUUGCUAGUGCAAGACCCGGUUUCUUAAGAAACAGUACAGAAGCUGGAAACCAGUGAGUGUCGAUUUAACGUUUGAAAUGGAGAUGGGAUGGAACAAAAGGAUGCAGUAGCUUUUGAACAUUGUUUUGAAACAAAGAUUGGCUUAGGAUGAGAAAAAGAAAAAGCAGUCCAAAAUGUACACAGACAUGGGAACUGGUGUUUGCUCCAUAAGGAAAGUUGCCAGAGAAUGAGUAAGCUUGGCUGUCCUUACCGCAGCCUAGUGAAUCAUAUAUUGAGAAUCUUCUGGAAGAAAAUAUACUGCUCAGCAUCUCUAAACAAGUGCACCCUGAAGCCCUGAGCAAUACAGGAAAACCCAAAGUUUGGGAACACCUUGUCCUACUUUUUGAAAUCUCCUUAAUCCUUGAGUUUCAAUUACACAGAACACAUGUCAAUGCUGUGCACAAGACCUGUGGAGAAGAAGGAGGUAGUCUGUAAGGGAAUGGCCUGACAAGUCCCCCAACUUUAACUCAAUUGAGCUGCUCUAGGAGGAGUUGGAUCGAAAGGUUUGAGAGGGGUGUCACUUCACAGCUUCCUCUGGGAAAUCCUGCAAGGAUUUUGGAGAAAAAAAAAGAGGCUGUUUGUAAUUGUAUGAAGAAAAGAUGUGAGAUAGUUAAAUCUGCUAAGGAAGAUGUCAAGGAAUGUACAGUUCCAGCAACUGCUAACUAUGCUGUACACAUUCUCUGUCAACUUUUCCAAAUAGGCAAAGUGAAAAUGGGUCCGAGUUACCCAGGGGUGGACAAAUCAUAAAUGCAUUUGCUAGGCCAUCGGGCAUCUAAACGCUCCCAUGUUCUGACCAGGCCCACGUUUUAGUUGUGCCAGAAACCUUCUCUAUCUAAACUAAAUGUAAUGGUGAGCUAAUUACCUCAUCAAGUGCAUUCGUACAAACUAACAAACAGAUUUCUGAUCAUUAUCCUCUUCUAACAUUGUUUAUAACGUAGCACCCGGCAACAAAAAGUCAGCAAGUCCUCAUACUGACUGUAAAAGAUGGUAUUUGAGGCUCCUGAGUGGUGGAACAGUCAAGCAUUCACAUUAUACUCGGGAGAUCACGAGUUUGGUUGCCACAGCUAUAUGUUAACAAAAUUGGCCAUGGUCUCGGUCUCUGGGUUUGGAGAGAUACUGAGGGAUAAUGGGAUACUGUCUCUCCCUGUAAAUCACAGUCAUUCGGGAAGCAUAUGCAUGUGAAAGAGGGUGGAUAGCACUUUCCUCCGAGUGUGUUAUGCUGCCCUGUGAUGCAGCAAUUAGAAAAGAUGUGGUUGGCUGGCUGCAUGUGUCUUGGAGGAAGCAAAUACUAGUUGGUAGGUGUCAAGUGACAGGGGAGAGCUGGCUGGUGGGUGGGGACUGCCAAGUUACCAAUGUGACCAAAGACAGCACCAAAUUAAACCAAAUACCACUACUAAAUGUUUCGCUAUAUUAUAUUAUAUAUAUAUAUAAAAUAUAAGCAGGAUGCCAAAUCUGCUUACGAUUUGUCCAUCUUUAUAUCUCAAUUUGUUUUCAAGAUGAACAACCUACAAUUUGGUCUGAUUCACACUGUACCCAUUAGCAUGAGAGUGGGUACAUCUUGAUGAUUAGCUCAGAGGAACAAACAAAAAAAAAAAAUCAGAUUAUUAUUACACUGAGAGGAGGGAAAAAUCACUGAGGCAACAGUGUGUGUGUGUUGGCAGGGGUUGACUCUCAGUUCUCAGCUUUCCCCAGCAAAGCAACCCCAUUAUAAUUCCCCCUGGCCUAACAUAUCCGCACGGCUCGAGUUUCCUAGCUCUGCAACAAUCCAAAAAUCAAUGGCCACUCCAGUAGACUGCCUGCCUCUCAGUCUCAAUUAAUAAUACAAGCUAACACACCAGUGAUAUGGGUAGAGUUAGCUCUGAUCAACUCUCAUCAUCAAAAGAAGUUGAUGUACAAGUACUCAAGCCUUUCGGAGCACUAGACACAAGGAGGAAUAGCUCAACCAUUCUGAAGUGAUGAAGCAGUGAUGAAGAGGACUGUUGUAUCAUCCUGAUAAAAAAAAAAAAAAGAUAUAAAAAGAUAGAUGAAGAUGGAAAUCAACGUAAGCAUAUCUAGCAAAGCUAUGAGCAAGCCCUUCAACAUUCGUCAAGCCUCCUCGUGUGUGUGUGUGUGUGUGUGCGUGCAUGUACUUUGAUCGAUACAGAGCUCUGCAUUUGCUUUAUUCAUAUGCAAAGAAGACCCUCUCUUAUCACAGGCUCCUAGUCCACUGACACACUAAUAAUUCUCUGCCGAGCAUAAAUUCGGUUGCAUGGCAACCGGCAAUUACGAUUGCCUACUGGAGAACCUGCCAAAUAUUAUUUCCCCAUCCGAGUUUCCUAUUUAAGUCAUAUACUCCGUCACUUGAUCAAAUCACACAGCUGCUUAACAGGUAGAGCUCAGUUUUUCAUCAGUUGAACGCAGACCUCAGUAAUCUCUGCAGACCAAUAUACUUGGCUACAGGCCUAUCUUGUAAACAUAAAUAAAACAGAUGCACGCAGUCUAGUCAAAGCAGAAGUGUAGCAAUUGCUAUUUAGAGCAUCUUCAUGGCAGUGGUGGCUUGGCGGUUAAGGUUCUGGGUUAAGGAUCGGGGGCUCAAGCUCCAGCACUGCCAGGAUCUGGGUUACUGAUCAGAAGGUCGGGAGUUCAAGCCCCAGCACUGGCAGGCUCUGGGUUACUGAUCAGAAGGUCGGGGGUUCAAGCCCCAGCACUGGUGAGCUGCCGAUGUUGGGCCCUUGAACAAGACCCUUAACCCUCUCUGCUCCAGGGGCGCUGUACCAUGGCUGACCCUGCGCUCUGACCCCAACUUCCUAACAAGCUGGGCUAUGUGUAGAAAAGAAUUUCACUUUGCUCUAAUGUACAUGUGAUUAAUAACGACUCAUUAUAUGUUUAUAAGAGCAGAUCGUGCUGUUAUUACACUACUGUUAUAUUGCAAAAGUGACAGAAAUCACAAUUAAAAGCUUAAUUGUAAUAUUGGUGUUUAAUCAUCAGUCAGAUCAGUCAGAUUGUCAUAACCGUGCGAGGUUUUAUUCCAGUGGUGGUGGCGGACAUGAUGUCCAGGCAAUGCUGGGAUCAGCCAAGCAUCAAACUGGCAGAAUCUCUGAUGCUUAAUCACCCCUACAUGAGCUUGUCAGAAAGUGGGUUAAGCAUAACUGCUGGGAGGCACAAAGUUAGUUCUGGUUCAGUUUCCAUGCCCAAAGUCUGGUAAAAUUCUGCCCAGGCGUGGCCAGGCUCCAUGCAGCCAUUAAUGUUGCUCAGACAAGCCAGUAAUUAUUGGAUAUUUGACAGCAUCGUUGGAUAUUUGAAGGAGGCAUUGAUCUCUGGUGCAGUUACACUUAUAUUCAGACAGCUCAAAGUUUUUUUUUUCUGCAGUAUUGCUUUCUUUCUUUUUUUCCACUCAAGAAAAUGUCCCCAUUGAUUCAAGUAUUUAAGUGAGUAUUUAAGUGAGGUUGUUAAUGUUACCAUUGUAGAUGGUAAAAAUAUCAUGUUCACAAUAUGUAUCACAGUAUAUACUGAAGAUCUGCUAACAAACUGCCAGUGAAACAGUAGUGUGGCAUUUUUUUUUUCCUUUUCAAAAAAACAUGGAAAACUGAAUCAUUAUGUCCAACAAAGGGUGGUCCAGUUAUAUUUGUGUAUUAGUGCUUGGCCCCCGAUAAUCACUCUUUACAUCAAUAGAUUUAAAAUAAAAAAAUCACUGGAAUGUAGAGAAAGACAGACAGAUAGACAGACAGAUAGAUAGAUAGAUACCUAUACUGUAUUAUUAUUAUUAUUUAUUAUAUAUAUAAUAAUAAUAA